UAAGUUCCCCGCCUGGGGAGUACGGCCGCAAGGCUAAAACUCAAAGGAAUUGACGGGGACCCGCACAAGCGGCGGAGCAUGCGGAUUAAUUCGAUGCAACGCGAAGAACCUUACCAAGGCUUGACAUACACCAGAACACCGUAGAAAUACGGGACUCUUUGGACACUGGUGAACAGGUGGUGCAUGGUUGUCGUCAGCUCGUGUCGUGAGAUGUUGGGUUAAGUCCCGCAACGAGCGCAACCCUCGUUCUAUGUUGCCAGCACGUUAUGGUGGGAACUCAUGGGAUACUGCCGGGGUCAACUCGGAGGAAGGUGGGGAUGACGUCAAAUCAUCAUGCCCCUAUGUCUUGGGCUUCACGCAUGCUACAAUGGCCGGUACAAAGGGCUGCAAUACCGUGAGGUGGAGCGAAUCCCAAAAAGCCGGUCCCAGUUCGGAUUGAGGUCUGCAACUCGACCUCAGAAGUCGGAGUCGCUAGUAAUCGCAGAUCAGCACGUGA
RNAcentral lists this ribosomal RNA (496 nucleotides) under Microbacterium sp. RNAcentral's name for it is "bacterial SSU rRNA". It matches the Rfam family "Bacterial small subunit ribosomal RNA", at positions 861 to 1359 of the family's 1533-position model. The record is from RNAcentral. Lineage: Bacteria; Bacillati; Actinomycetota; Actinomycetes; Micrococcales; Microbacteriaceae.